RNAcentral lists this ribosomal RNA (497 nucleotides) under uncultured bacterium. RNAcentral describes it as "partial 16S ribosomal RNA". It matches the Rfam family "Bacterial small subunit ribosomal RNA", at positions 28 to 507 of the family's 1533-position model. The record is from RNAcentral.
GAUGAACGCUGGCGGCGUGCCUAAUACAUGCAAGUCGAGCGAACGGACGAGAAGCUUGCUUCUCUGAUGUUAGCGGCGGACGGGUGAGUAACACGUGGAUAACCUACCUAUAAGACUGGGAUAACUUCGGGAAACCGUAGCUAAGACCGGAUAAUAUUUUGAACCGCAUGGUUCAAAAGUGAAAGACGGUCUUGCUGUCACUUAUAGAUGGAUCCGCGCUGCAUUAGCUAGUUGGUAAGGUAACGGCUUACCAAGGAAACGAUGCAUAGCCGACCUGAGAGGGUGAUCGGCCACACUGGAACUGAGACACGGUCCAGACUCCUACGGGAGGCAGCAGUAGGGAAUCUUCCGCAAUGGGCGAAAGCCUGACGGAGCAACGCCGCGUGAGUGAUGAAGGUCUUCGGAUCGUAAAACUCUGUUAUUAGGGAAGAACAUAUGUGUAAGUAACUGUGCACAUCUUGACGGUACCUAAUCAGAAAGCCACGGCUAACUACGUG